GACGAACGCUGGCGGCGUGCUUAACACAUGCAAGUCGAACGGAAAGGCCCUGCUUUUGUGGGGUGCUCGAGUGGCGAACGGGUGAGUAACACGUGAGUAACCUGCCCUUGACUUUGGGAUAACUUCAGGAAACUGGGGCUAAUACCGGAUAGGAGCUCCUGCUGCAUGGUGGGGGUUGGAAAGUUUCGGCGGUUGGGGAUGGACUCGCGGCUUAUCAGCUUGUUGGUGGGGUAGUGGCUUACCAAGGCUUUGACGGGUAGCCGGCCUGAGAGGGUGACCGGCCACAUUGGGACUGAGGUACGGGCCAGACUCCUACGGGGGGGAGCAGGGGGGAAUAUUGCACAAUGGGCGGAAGCCUUAUGCAGCAACGCCGCGUGCGGGAUGACGGCCUUCGGGUUGUAAACCGCUUUCGCCUGUGACGAAGCGUGAGUGACGGUAAUGGGUAAAGAAGCACCGGCUAACUACGUG
This 468-nucleotide ribosomal RNA is filed under the name uncultured bacterium. RNAcentral's name for it is "partial 16S ribosomal RNA". It matches the Rfam family "Bacterial small subunit ribosomal RNA", at positions 28 to 507 of the family's 1533-position model. The record is from RNAcentral.